RNAcentral lists this long non-coding RNA (461 nucleotides) under Homo sapiens (human). Its description in RNAcentral is "non-protein coding GMDS-DT:81". Lineage: Eukaryota; Metazoa; Chordata; Mammalia; Primates; Hominidae. The record is from RNAcentral.
GCCGCCACCGCCUCAGGGAAGAGGAAGGAGGCCGCGGCUUCGCGUCCCGCCUCUCGCCUGGCUGGCCGUGGGGGGCCUGGACGCAGUGGCCUCCCGAAUCUCCCAGGACCCUAAUAUCGCCCGAGGAUGCUGGGAGGAACGCUGAGCCGACCUCUCCGUUAGGCUGAAGAUUGCACAAACCAUGCUAAUGGCCAGCAUGGAUGGAGGGAGCGUGUGAGAUGUGUGGGGCAGCGUGCUGCAUCUCAGCCAACUCCAGGAGCCAGUUGAUGUGAUGGACUACCUUAAUUGAUUUUUGAAUGUUGAGCCAGCCUUAUGCAUGUGGGAUAAACCCCUGUUGAUCAUGGCUGGCUGGAGUGCAGUGGUGCAAUCAUGGCUCACUGCAACCUCAAAUUCCUGGGCUCAAGGGAUCCUCCUGCCUCAGCCUCCCAAGUAGCUAGGACUACAGGAAUAAGGGAGAUGAU